GAUGAACGCUGGCGGCGUGCUUAACACAUGCAAGUCGAACGGAGUACUUCUCCCGAGACUGAGGAAGCUUGCUUCUGAAGAAUCAUUUGAAGUACUUAGUGGCGGACGGGUGAGUAACGCGUGGGUAACCUGCCUCACACAGGGGGAUAACAGUUGGAAACGACUGUUAAUACCGCAUAAGCGCACAGUAUCGCAUGAUACAGUGUGAAAAACUCCGGUGGUGUGAGAUGGACCCGCGUCUGAUUAGCUAGUUGGCGAGGUAACGGCCCACCAAGGCGACGAUCAGUAGCCGGCCUGAGAGGGUAAACGGCCACAUUGGGACUGAGACACGGCCCAAACUCC
RNAcentral lists this ribosomal RNA (342 nucleotides) under uncultured Coprococcus sp. RNAcentral's name for it is "bacterial SSU rRNA". It matches the Rfam family "Bacterial small subunit ribosomal RNA", at positions 28 to 339 of the family's 1533-position model. The record is from RNAcentral. Lineage: Bacteria; Bacillati; Bacillota; Clostridia; Lachnospirales; Lachnospiraceae.